Notolabrus celidotus (New Zealand spotty) is the source of this 2144-nucleotide long non-coding RNA. RefSeq lists it as uncharacterized. The record is from RefSeq and is a predicted model, not a curated record. The transcript is spliced from 4 exons. Lineage: Eukaryota; Metazoa; Chordata; Actinopteri; Labriformes; Labridae.
GUUUACGUAGCUCAGUAGGAACGUAGCUCCGGGCUAAUAAACAUUUCCUUCUGAUAAAGAAAUAUUUAGAUAAGAUAAAAGAAGUUAAACUUUAUUAAACGUGUCUCUAGUGAUCCCGUAGAGGUCACGGCUCCGUGUCAGAGUCACGGUGGAUCCCGUUACCGUCAGGUGUGAGGAUUAACGAUCAGUGGUUUGGACCUCUGUUGGAUAUCUGAUGGCGAGCUGCGACCCACCCAAGACUGAAGCAAGGGACACCAAAGACUUUGUCUUGGCAUGCACAACCGGCGUCUUCAUCAGCGGUGUCAGCUUUGUGAUGUCAAACAGAGCAUCAACGUGGAUCCUGGCAUGCCGUACUGUAGGUCAUGUGUGAUGGAAUGAGCAUGCUGCAUCCAUGCAUGCAUGCACUCAUGCUCACACAUAUGGAAGGCCUGUCCACUGGCAUGCACAGACACACUCAUCACUUUAUGCUGCUGCUGCCAAAUACAAUGAGGCUGAUGCUCAUGCAAAGGUCAUCAUGAAGGUGAAGCUGUUGCCCUCAAGGUCGUCGUAUGAAAUUUUGCAUAUGACCUCUACAAUCCUACUCAUCCUUUAUUUUAUUUGACUUCUCGUUUCAUCUCUUAGAUGUUGUAAAGAGCGUGGUGCACAUGAUACACUGAGCCCCUUCCACUCAGCAGCCUCAGUAAAUCUCCCUCCCUGCGUCCUAGAUAAUAACGUCCAUGUGAAGAUGAGCUCUCUAACAGAAGCGACAUCCUUAACCCUUGCCCUGUGUCAGGAUUUUUGCAUCUCCUUCCUCUCCGUGGCAUCGGCUCCUUCACUCUGCCUCUUGUUUUUUUACAUCCUUUAAUUCAUCAUGAUUCGACUCUCUUGACCCCGUCCUGCAGAAUGAAAAGACUCCUUAUCUCACAGUUAAAUAAAGGUUAAAUCAAAACUAAGAAAAAUACUGUUCGUCGUCAUCAAGCAGCUUCCUACCACCUCGGACAUGAAGCUCUGCAUCCUCCCUUGCCAUCUGUUUUGCACAUACAAAAAAAAAAAAGAAAACCCAUCACAGUCAUUCUCCCAGGAUCAAAUCAGAAACCGACUCAAGAUGCAAACAGCAGAGGAGAGCGAGGCUCCAGCAGCCUGUCAGCUCCGCUCACGUCUUUAUCUUUUCUCUCUGUCUUUCUAAAGAGAAGACAAGUGGGAGAGGGCCCUGCCUGUGGCGUACGGAAGAAGGAAACGUCCAUUCUAAUAUCCUGUCUGGGGCAUAUACUCUCCCCGUCAGCCUCGUGUCUAUCAGAGGAUCUGGCUGGAUCUGGUGUAGGGAGGAGGCAGCCGUGCUGAUAUCUGAUGUUCUCCUUGUUCUUUCUCUUUUCUGCAUUCAGCAUGGCAAGGACAUGCAGAGAAUUACAGGGAGGAGGGAGGCACACGUCCUGCACGCCGUUUAUGAGGUUUUGGAAAAGCAUUUUGUUUUCACACGUUCACAACGAAGGGUUAUGGGAAAGAGAGAGAGAGAGACAGUCUGUGAAACAAAAGUGGAGGAAGUGAGGAAAGGAAACAGAGCGAGGACGAAACGACGGCUCAGAAACCUCGUCCAUGGCACCUUUCCAUCUCGCCUUGCAUGACCUUCUCUUUAAGUACAGCCUGUGAGGUUUUCCCAGAGUAAAAAUAGGCCCGGCUAAAUUCUACACUACACUGAAUUAUUUCGACAGUGAGGUUUUUUUUUCUGUUUGUUUUCUUUCCUGCUAACACCGGCACUUUGCUUCACCCUUCAUUGUGUGUUGUACAUUCAGAGUGCCAGAAAUAUGCCCAAAGGUGUGUACCCACCACCUAGCAUGUUUACCCUGACCACGCUUCUAAAGUUUGUCCGUGCUCAAACAAAGCUCCCAUAGUGCAAGAGGAAGCUUCAGGGAGGAAAAGUUCUCUGUUUUACAUUUUUUACUUUCACCAAAAGAACGUGUAAAGGGAGCUGGCUGAAUGCUCUGAGACAAGGUGUGAAAUUAUCAUUUUCACACAAACUUUUCUUAUCGAGUUUGAGCGUUGCUUGUCCAGCUGGAAACUGAUGACAUGGUGUAAAAAUAGGCAGACAUUACAGCAGGGUGGUAGUUACAGUUGUAGUUAAAGGGUUUAUGCAUUGUUUGAUUUUUUUAAAAGAGGAUCAUCGUGUG